Molecule: ribosomal RNA, 496 nt
Filed under: Veillonella parvula
Lineage: Bacteria; Bacillati; Bacillota; Negativicutes; Veillonellales; Veillonellaceae
Description: bacterial SSU rRNA
Rfam family: Bacterial small subunit ribosomal RNA
Source: RNAcentral
GACGAACGCUGGCGGCGUGCUUAACACAUGCAAGUCGAACGAAGAGCGAUGGAAGCUUGCUUCUAUCAAUCUUAGUGGCGAACGGGUGAGUAACGCGUAAUCAACCUGCCCUUCAGAGGGGGACAACAGUUGGAAACGACUGCUAAUACCGCAUACGAUCUAAUCUUGGCAUCGAGGAUAGAUGAAAGGUGGCCUCUACAUGUAAGCUAUCACUGAAGGAGGGGAUUGCGUCUGAUUAGCUAGCUGGGAGGGGUAACGGCCCACCAAGGCGAUGAUCAGUAGCCGGUCUGAGAGGAUGAACGGCCACAUUGGGACUGAGACACGGCCCAGACUCCUACGGGAGGCAGCAGUGGGGAAUCUUCCGCAAUGGACGAAAGUCUGACGGAGCAACGCCGCGUGAGUGAUGACGGGCUUCGGGUUGUAAAGCUCUGUUAAUCGGGACGAAAGGCCUUCUUGCGAAUAGUGAGAAGGAUUUGACGUACCGGAAUAUAAACCC